This 447-nucleotide ribosomal RNA is filed under the name uncultured bacterium. RNAcentral describes it as "bacterial SSU rRNA". It matches the Rfam family "Bacterial small subunit ribosomal RNA", at positions 331 to 794 of the family's 1533-position model. The record is from RNAcentral.
CCAGACUCCUACGGGAGGCAGCAGUGGGGGAUAUUGCACAAUGGGGGGAACCCUGAUGCAGCGACGCCGCGUGGGUGAAGGAGUGCUUCGGCAUGUAAAGCCCUAUCGGCAGGGAAGAAGCAAGACGGUACCUGACUAAGAAGCACCGGCUAAAUACGUGCCAGCAGCCGCGGUAAUACGUAUGGUGCAAGCGUUAUCCGGAUUUACUGGGGGUAAAGGGAGCGUAGGCGGCGCGUUAAGUCUGAUGUGAAAACCCGAGGCUCAACCACGGGAGUGCAUUGGAAACUGGCGGGCUGGAGUGCCGGAGAGGUAAGCGGAAUUCCUAGUGUAGCGGUGAAAUGCGUAGAUAUUAGGAGGAACACCAGUGGCGAAGGCGGCUUACUGGACGGCAACUGACGCUGAGGCUCGAAAGCGUGGGGAGCAAACAGGAUUAGAUACCCCAGUAAA